UAUCGUUGGUCACGAUCCCACUGCUGUCCUUCAAGAGGCUGAUAACGUUCCCAUGUCUUUAGACAAUGGUGGCCGGACUAAUGGUUCCCCUUGUAUCCAGAUGGCCCUUGAUUUUUGCCUCCAAAAGAUCACUUGUUGACGUGCUAGUGUGUGAUGAUUGGAUAGGUUCAACUAAAGUGCUGACAUAUCUCCAUUGGAUAGGCCACCUUGUCUCUCUUCCUUUAGUUGCAGAUCAAGAGUGGAGGCUUCGUCUUCUUCCAUUCUCCUAAAAAUGUUCCCCAC
Molecule: long non-coding RNA, 282 nt
Filed under: Elaeis guineensis (African oil palm)
Lineage: Eukaryota; Viridiplantae; Streptophyta; Magnoliopsida; Arecales; Arecaceae
Description: long non-coding RNA (EGUI_LNC013802)
Source: RNAcentral